Lupinus angustifolius (narrow-leaved blue lupine) is the source of this 119-nucleotide non-coding RNA. The record is from Rfam. NCBI's taxonomy places the organism in Eukaryota, Viridiplantae, Streptophyta, Magnoliopsida, Fabales, Fabaceae.
AGCCAUGUGGUAAGUACAAAGCGAACUAUUCUUUCGCCUUUUACUAAAGAAUACCGUGUGCUUGCCACUUCAAGUGGCAUACGCUUAUUUUUGGCAAGAGUUUUCCUUUUUGGAAAGCU